CGAGUUUCUCUUAGAUUUCCAUGGCUACGGCUAUAGAUAUGUACCGUAGUUGUCCAUCUACCUCUGCAGACUCCGUCGAUGAGGAGCUCAUGAGAGCACUUGAGCCUUUUAUGACAAGUGAUUCCGCCUCCUCCCUCCCACACUCUCCUCCCCCGUCUUCCACCUCCACCCUCACCUACCCCUCUCCCUCUUCUCUCACUUCCUUUCUUUACCCUUCUCCUGUAUCCUCCCCCUCCCUCUUCUUCCACUCCUCUAUUCAAAAUCCAAACUUGGAUAGCUACUCCCUUCAAAACACCACCUUCGGGAGUUAUCCCUAUCAAGAUC
Molecule: long non-coding RNA, 324 nt
Filed under: Musa acuminata (dwarf banana)
Lineage: Eukaryota; Viridiplantae; Streptophyta; Magnoliopsida; Zingiberales; Musaceae
Description: long non-coding RNA (MACU_LNC010251)
Source: RNAcentral